Molecule: ribosomal RNA, 466 nt
Filed under: uncultured bacterium
Lineage: Bacteria
Description: bacterial SSU rRNA
Rfam family: Bacterial small subunit ribosomal RNA
Source: RNAcentral
AGGGUUCGAUUCUGGCUCAGAACGAACGCUGGCGGCAGGCCUAACACAUGCAAGUCGAGCGCGCCCUUCGGGGGUGAGCGGCGGACGGGUUAGUAACGCGUGGGAACGUACCCUUUGGUAGGGAAUAGCCACUGGAAACGGUGAGUAAUACCCUAUGAGCCCUUCGGGGGAAAGAUUUAUCGCCAAAGGAUCGGCCCGCGUUAGAUUAGGUAGUUGGUGGGGUAAUGGCCUACCAAGCCUACGAUCUAUAGCUGGUUUUAGAGGAUGAUCAGCAACACUGGGACUGAGACACGGCCCAGACUCCUACGGGAGGCAGCAGUGGGGAAUCUUGGACAAUGGGGGCAACCCUGAAUCCAGCCAUGCCGCGUGAGUGAAGAAGGCCUUAGGGUCGUAAAGCUCUUUCGCCUGUGAAGAUAAUGACGGUAGCAGGUAAAGAAACCCCGGCUAACUCCGUGCCAGCCGCUGC